AUAGAUAUAGAAUAUGGUGUGUCGGCAUGCAUGUCCAAAUCAACAGGUGGGACACCAUCAGUAGAAUCCCUCGAGCUCAAAGCUCUAAUCAUACUCUCUCUCUCACCGCACCACCUCAUCAUGACUAGAAGCUUGUCAAGCCUCUUUAAGUCGCCUCUUAUUUCUCACAUCUCAUGCCUUGGCCUCGAUAUCAGUACCAAUCUCUUCACAUGGGAUCUUUUCAAAUGCCCAUGGUAUCUCUUUCUCCAUAAAGAUAUUAAUAGUGAAAGUCGGGAGGAUAGGCAAAGAUAGAAGUGAUGGUGCCGGUGUGGUAGCCAAAAUAGUGACCUCAGACUAGAGCAUCUCUAUCUCAGUUUGUAUGUUAGUCUAAUCCGAGAUCAUUGCGGUCCUAAAGUGUUCAGUCACCCUCUGCUCAAAGGCUUGGUAAGUAAAUGACUUCAAUAAUAGUGACACUUCAAUUUCACUAUGGAGACUGUUUUGCAUCUGAUCCUGAGCUAAGGUGGAAGAGAAGAGCUACAGUUACUCAAAGGCAGCUACAAAAAGAGCAUUAUAGAAGAUCAAACUCUUCUACAAGCAUUCAAGCCACAAUUGACACUAGUGUCACCAAGAUUCAUUCCACACCAUGAACUCAAGGCACACAGUAGAUUUCUCUAGCUU
Solanum dulcamara is the source of this 657-nucleotide long non-coding RNA. RefSeq lists it as uncharacterized. NCBI's taxonomy places the organism in Eukaryota, Viridiplantae, Streptophyta, Magnoliopsida, Solanales, Solanaceae. The transcript has 3 exons. The record is from RefSeq and is a predicted model, not a curated record.